This 535-nucleotide ribosomal RNA is filed under the name uncultured bacterium. Its description in RNAcentral is "partial 16S ribosomal RNA". It matches the Rfam family "Bacterial small subunit ribosomal RNA", at positions 355 to 881 of the family's 1533-position model. The record is from RNAcentral.
UGGGGAAUUUUGGACAAUGGGGGCAACCCUGAUCCAGCAAUGCCGCGUGUGUGAAGAAGGCCUUCGGGUUGUAAAGCACUUUUGUCCGGAAAGAAAACGCCGUGGUUAAUACCCGUGGCGGAUGACGGUACCGGAAGAAUAAGCACCGGCUAACUACGUGCCAGCAGCCGCGGUAAUACGUAGGGUGCAAGCGUUAAUCGGAAUUACUGGGCGUAAAGCGUGCGCAGGCGGUUUGCUAAGACCGAUGUGAAAUCCCCGGGCUCAACCUGGGAACUGCAUUGGUGACUGGCAGGCUAGAGUAUGGCAGAGGGGGGUAGAAUUCCACGUGUAGCAGUGAAAUGCGUAGAGAUGUGGAGGAAUACCGAUGGCGAAGGCAGCCCCCUGGGCCAAUACUGACGCUCAUGCACGAAAGCGUGGGGAGCAAAACAGGAUUAGAUACCCUGGUAGUCCACGCCCUAAAACGAUGUCAACUAGUUGUUGGGGAUUCAUUUCCUUAGUAACGUAGCUAACGCGUGAAGUUGACCGCCUGGGGAGU